AUAGGCUAAUUAAGAGCGUAAGGGGAAUACCUUGGCUCUCAGAGGCGAUGAAGGACGUGAUAAGCUGCGAUAAGUUGCGGGGAAUGGCACAAACAUUUUGAUCCGCAAAUUUCCGAAUGGGGCAACCCGGCAUAUUGAAGAUAUGUCACACUGUAAAGUGAGCAAACCUGGUGAACUGAAACAUCUAAGUAACCAGAGGAAUAGAAAACAAAAGUGAUUCCGCUAGUAGUGGCGAGCGAACGUGGAAUAGCCCAAACCUAAAUUGUUACGGCAAUUUAGGGGUUGUAGGACCUCAACAUUUAAUGCUAAUAGAACUAGAAUUUACUGGAAAGUAAAACCAAAGAAGGUGAUAGUCCUGUAUAGGUAAUUGAUGUUAUUAAUAGAGGUAUCCUGAGUAGUACGGAGCACGUGAAACUUUGUAUGAAUUUGCCAGGACCAUCUGGUAAGGCUAAAUACUCCUGAGAGACCGAUAGUGAACUAGUACCGUGAGGGAAAGGUUAAAAGUACCCUGAAUAAGGGAGUGAAAUAGAUCUUGAAACCUUACGCUUACAAGCGGUCGGAGCCCAUUUAUGGGUGACGGCGUGCCUUUUGCAUAAUGAGCCUACGAGUUACCUUUGCUAGCAUGGCUAAUCCGUUAAGCGGAGCAACCGAAGCGAAAGCGAGUCUGAAUAGGGCGUUUAGUUAGCAGUGGUAGACGCGAAACCUAGUGAGCUAUCCAUGGGCAGGUUGAAGCUGUAGUAACAUACAGUGGAGGACCGAACCCGUUGACGUUGAAAAGUCUUGGGAUGACCUGUGGAUAGGGGUGAAAGGCCAAUCAAACUAGGAAAUAGCUCGUACUCCCCGAAAUGCAUUUAGGUGCAGCGUUAAAAUAAGUUUCAUAGAGGUAGAGCUACUGAUUGGAUGCGGGGGUUUCACCACCUACCAAUUCCUGACAAACUCCGAAUGCUAUGAAAUGUUUUUUAGCAGUGAGGGCAUGGGUGCUAAGGUCCAUGUCCGAGAGGGAAACAACCCAGACCAUCAGCUAAGGUCCCAAAAUAUAUACUAAGUUGAAUAAACGAGGUUUGACUGCCCAGACAGCUAGGAUGUUGGCUUGGAAGCAGCCAUUCAUUUAAAGAGUGCGUAACAGCUCACUAGUCGAGCGGUCGAGCAUGGAUAAUAAUCGGGCAUAAGUAUAUUACCGAAGCUAUGGCAUUAUUUAUAAUGGGUAGGGGAGCAUUCUAUUGACGUUGAAGGUGAACUGUGAGGUUUGCUGGAGUUUAUAGAAACGAAAAUGUAGGCAUAAGUAACGAUUAGGGGUGCGAGAAACACCCCCUCCGAAAAACUCAGGUUUCCUCAGCUAUGCUAAUCAGCUGAGGGUUAGUCAGGACCUAACACGAACCCAAAUGGGGUAGUGGAUGGACAACCAGUUAAUAUUCUGGUACCUGCUUAACAAUAAAAGCGACGGAAAAGAGAGGUUAUUGCGUACUGACGGAAUAGUACGUUGAAAUUACUUUUAAGGUAAUGAUAGUACACCAAAUCUACGGAUGAGGUGAUAAUAUAGCGGAUCUUUUUCCAAGAAAAACAAGUUAAGCAGCCUGUACCUUAAACCGACACAGGUAGUUGGGAUGAGGAUUCUAAGGAGCUCGAGAGAUUCAUGGCUAAGGAACUAGGCAAAUUUGACCCGUAACUUCGGGAUAAGGGUCGCCUACUUUUAGUAGGCCGCAGUGAAAAGGUCCAAGCGACUGUUUAUCAAAAACACAGGACUCUGCUAAGUCGAAAGACGAUGUAUAGGGUCUGACACCUGCCCGGUGCCGGAAGGUUAAGUGGAAAUGUUAGCUUCGGCAAAGCAUCGAAAUGAAGCCCCGGUAAACGGCGGCCGUAACUAUAACGGUCCUAAGGUAGCGAAAUUCCUUGUCGGGUAAGUUCCG
Molecule: ribosomal RNA, 1907 nt
Filed under: marine metagenome
Description: bacterial LSU rRNA
Rfam family: Bacterial large subunit ribosomal RNA
Source: RNAcentral